CGCACGGCUCCUCUUCAUUUUAACUCUGCGGUCUCAGCUUCUGCUUUAUUUCUUUCGGUCGAAGUCCAGCCCAGCAAAGCCUCCUCCGCGUGUCUUCCUCAACUCCACGAACGCCCUGCUUCACUAGCUCUUGUCGCCCACCAACAAUCCGCACGCCCGUGUCCCUCCUGCUUUGGCCACGUCUACAGCAACUGGUCAUCAAUUUCUCCACGAAGACCCAAGCUACUGAAGCGUUGAAGAAACCCUGCAACGCCAACGAAGAUCCCUGCAGCAGUUCCACCGAAUUCUCCCUGCCAGCAAAGCCCAUUUUCGUUUGUCUUUGUUUCCACCGAAGCUGAUCCUGCCGAGCUUGCUGCCACUUGGCCGUGUGUACGUCUGGUUCGGUCAACAACAGCUUCAAUUGAAGCUCUCGGUUGACCGCUUAAAGCCCACGAUUCCACCGAGUUGGUCGGCCACUCACGCCACACCAACAGAGAAGCCGCAGGAACGGAGGCAGUCAACCACGCCAUCCACCGAAGACCAAGACUCCCUCACGCUGCCAGGCGUCCGCCAUCGUCCACGAGCGGCUUCCGUCUUCAGUCUUCUCCAGCGGCGUGCCCUCAGCCCUCACGAAAUUGUCGAGGCCCAUCUCACCAGCAACGGCCCAGCGAAGCCAGCGAAAUCUGCAAGCUUGAGUCAGUCCAAAUUCAGCCCUGCAGAAAUUCAAGUCAGCGACUCCUUCGCUGGAUUCCUCUUGCGGGCAGCCCAGCAGCUCAAUUGAGGCCCAAGUGAAUUCGCAAGCCCAGUUUUUGAGGCCCAAAAAUCUAGCAACUCCAUUAAGCCCAAUCGCAGCUAGACCCAAGUCCAAGAGCAAGCCCAUUCCAGUGCAAGGACAAAUCUCAUUUGGGCUGAGAUUUGUUGGGUCAAACUUAAGGCCCGGUCCAAGCCUGCCGGUGUUGUCGAAAGUCCAAUUUCGGCCGCCGUCACGUCGCCGUCGCGGUGAUUCGAUCUCCGCUGUUGUCAACACAAACCCAAGGUAGAGAGUUGAUGGACGCAAUUUGGCGAAGUGCAUUCCAGAACAAUUUUCAAGAUUGGAAUGACGCUGGUGCAUGUAAGCAAGGAAAUAUGAGACUGCCGGAACAUAGCCAGUCCUCCAGCAAGUCCUAUAGGAUUAAUGAAGUGAGAAUUUGGGAAUUUCAGACGACGCUGAAGAAGAAUUAGAACAGCCUCUGUGUUCUUCGUCUCCAUAAAAAAAACCAGGUUCUGAAUGCCUUGCUGAUGGACAGGUGAGGGAGGAAGUGCUACCUUUAUGGAAGACAUCGAGGAAGUGCUUACUGGAAGGAUUGGAGGAAACAGAGCAGCCGUAUUAGAUUGAAGUGACGUUCUGUGAUGGUGCUGAUCAUCGGUAUCCCUAUCCUUAAUAGUUAGUGGAAGUUCAGUGACUCCUUUCAUCUUUUGUGCCGCAGGUAUAAUAGCACUAGUCGAGGGAGACGCAGAUUGUUGACCUUCAGGACAGAGAUGCAGGAGGAGUUUCAGGAAUCACUUCUUCAGUAUCUUCAGAAUCAAUAUUCAUCCCGUAACAGCUGUUCCGUCGGAGGAGGUUCAUCCCAGACGUCAAUUUCAUAUUCAGACCACAGACGUCCCAUUCUGCUACCGAGGGCAGCCAGACGCGAUUCUUCACUCAGAUGAUGGGAAUCCAUAACUUGAUUGCGAAGCUAACGGCUGAAUUAGGUCAGAAGGGGCUCGGACAUGAUGAGGCGAUGGCAGAAAAAACUGUAUAAAGAGAAGAAAAAGGGAAAGGUUUGGGCAGAGAACAUAGGAUGAGUAGGGAAUUGAGAAUGCAUGGACGUUCGCUUGUGUAAAUGAUGCUGAAUUGGGGAUUCAAACGAACAAUGGUUGGAAUCGGAACUUCAAAGGAGAUGAAGAAGCUAAAGACUAAACGAAGAGAAGAGAGAUGUAGAGCAAGCGGUCGCUAAGUUCAAUCCAUCGGUAAUGGAGGAAAUACCAGAAGGGUUAAGGAUUAACAGUGAGGGUUUGAGAUGAAAACUACCAUUAAUGGUAGAGAUAAGCUCUGCAUGUCGAGAGAGUUUUUGGUGACACAACAAGACUUCAUUGUCUCUAAUAUUUCAGACCACGUAAUAUGUUCUCAUGGCUCGGUGGUGAUCAAGCUUGGUCGACAGCAAGAGAGUCGACGGUGGCCUAAUCAGUGACAGCAAUGCAGAGCGAUUUGACAAUGUCCGAAGUGGCGACAACAGCGAUGAUUAUAUCACGACUUAUUAACAUGCAAAAAUAUAGCUUUCUCUUGAUUUUCUGUUAAAUACCAAAGUAACCACACAUUUUAAUUAAUAGAUGCGAGAUUUUCACAGAAUCUUGUAAUUUGAAAGGUCCUCCACAUGUAUGCAAGUUUUUCUUAU
Molecule: long non-coding RNA, 2393 nt
Organism: Eucalyptus grandis
Lineage: Eukaryota; Viridiplantae; Streptophyta; Magnoliopsida; Myrtales; Myrtaceae
Exons: 6
Source: RefSeq, a predicted model, not a curated record